Long non-coding RNA from Mauremys reevesii (Reeves's turtle), 3544 nucleotides. RefSeq lists it as uncharacterized. The record is from RefSeq and is a predicted model, not a curated record. The transcript is spliced from 6 exons. Lineage: Eukaryota; Metazoa; Chordata; Testudines; Geoemydidae.
GGCCCUGGGGGGGGGCCCUCAGCCCCCCUGGCGCUGGCCUCGCGUCCCAGCAGGUCUGGCGGCGUGAAACGGGCCAGCGGCGCCCGCCCUAGGGCCCAGGGCCUGUGUGUGCUGCCCCGUAGCCCAGCCCCUGGCCUGGCAGUUCCGCGUUGUGCCCCGGCGGAUGGACUGCACAGCCAGAGGACCUCAAAGGCCUCGCCACACGGAUAUACACAUGAAUUAUUCCACCAACCACCGAAACGCUGAACCCUCCUCCAGAGUAGAUCUCCGCCAAUACAGAAUAGCCCGCCCGCCCGCAACAGCUAAGCCCAGGAAGUAAAAAACAACAUACACAAAUGGAAGUGGCAAGAGGCAGAAUAUUGCAGUGGUCCCCAACUUAAAUACUGGGGCAGAGUUUGUGAAAAUUGGUCCCAACGUGCUGUUCAGAAGAAGAUAGAGCAUUGCGAGGUGGAAUCUGUAGUUCCUGUGGGCUGCAGCUCAACAUUAAAGAUGUCUGUGCAUCACACUUCAGUUACCCAGAUGAAUUUAAGCCCGUAACAUCUGUCUAAGUGUGAGAUCCAGCCACAGCAAAUUCUACUGGACAAUGUGAUCCGUUUGAAAUCUUCAGCAGGAUAUUUCCAACAGGAGUCUGGCUUAGCCGCCAAGACAACUCCAUCUUCUGCAACACUGCUGCAAGCCCUUCACCAGAAAGACGGCUAAAAGCUGCCCCUUACACAGCCCACUGCUGGGCCAAGUUUGCCAGAUCACAGACCGUGUGCUUGGCCUGUGUCUCUCCGGCGAGCCUCCUGUUAAAGCUGGAGAUGGUUCCUAUUCGCAGCCUGUGGGGAAAAACUAUCUUCAGGAGACGGAUUCAGAAACUAGAUACCUGUGUCAUGCUGGGCUAUGAAGAGACGUCCCCUUCCCCGCUCUGUGCUGCUGCUGCUUUGCUUUCUGGAUUUCAAGGUUUUGAUUAACAGCAACCAUUGAAACUUCUCCUUGUUCCGCUCUCGGCAGUGUACUGCUGCAGUCUCAGAUGCCACAGUUCCUGAGAGGAGUCUGGACUCUGCUGCUGUCUCCACUCGGCACAGGCGAUCGUGGGAUGCGCUGGCCACAGCCUGUGCCACCAGCCCGUCACCCCGUCAUAUUCCUGCCUCUGGCCGGGAACAGUGUGUGGAGGCUGAGGAGCUGGCAGAAGAGGACCAUGUUAGCGGCACAGGAAAGAACUCCCGGCCGUAGGGCGGGCUGGGUAGGAAGAGGUGGGGAUAACAGACGUUAUAGCAGAUGCGGGUACCUGAGCUGGGUUCCUCCACAGGAGGACAGAGACUUUUCCUGGCCUUUAUUUUCAGGCGUUGAACUCCCAAUGGCUGGAGAUGGUGUAGCUGCUGAUGUGACAGAAAUGGGGCUGCUCGGUACUAAUCUAUGAACAGCAUAGGGGACCUGGUUAGCAGGGCAUUCAGUGUAUGACUACAGGGGUGAAAUCAACAGGGCUAUGGAGCAAAAAACAGGACAGCAAAACAACGACUCAAGACAAAGCACCUCCCUUGAAACGCGUCCGGGUGUUUAAGAGACAACACCUGAGCUGUUACCUGGGAAGUUCCUAUGAGCUGCGCGCCAGCCACGUUACACACUUGUUUUCCCAGUGUUGGCAGCCAACAGCCGGAAAGGACCAUAAACCAUUAAAAAGCCUCUCUCUGUCUAGAGGUGAGAGAGGGCGUUGGGGAGCUGUUUCUGAGAACAGGCUGACACACAGACACGGCUGGAGGUGUCUGGAGAAGCUAGGCCUCCCUACAGUGGCGGAUUAACAAAUUUGCCACCCUAGGACCUCAAAAAAUUCCCGUCCCCCCGCGCCAGCUCACCUCCGCUCCCCCACUGCAAGCCUGGGAGGGAUGGGGGAGAAGGGGAGUUGUGGUGCGCUUAGGGGAUGGCGGAGGUGGAGUGAUGGGGAGCUGGGGCAGGGAGCGGUUCCCUGCCCCCACCCCCGAAGAGUUACUCCCCGUGCCCGCCGGCCCCAGGCCACCUCCGCUAUCCCCCGGGUGCGCCACUACUCGCUUCUCCCUCCCUCCCUCCCUGCGCUUUCGCGCAGCAAGCCUGGGAGGGAGGUGGAAGGAGGGAAGCGCGGCGCGCCUGGGGGAGGAAGCAGGCCGGGGAUUUGGGGAAGGGGUGUGAGCAAAUUUGCUGCCCUAGGUGUAGGCCUUGUUGGCCUAGGCGAUAAUACGCCGCUGCCUCCCUAGGCUCCCAUGACAGGGCAGCAGGACUUUUGGGAAGGGGGACCUGCGCACAGACUGCUUUAAAAUCCUUUUUCUCUUGUGCUUUGUUCCUGCUGUUCGGAUUAAACAACAGUUUGGUGUAAGCAGCUGCCGGGUUCCGGUGUUCACUGCUGGCCACAGACUCCUGCAGGGAGGAACCGCAGGGACCGGGCCCCGCUGGAUACACAGGGUGCAGUAGCCCAAGGCCCAACCCGAGUGGGAGAAGGGCAAGACUCCACCCCAGGAGAGAUGAAGGCACGAGGGGUGCACUCAGAGAUACAAUUAGUCCUGCAACCUUGACAGCUGGGUUACAGCACUCCCUGGUAACCACGGGGUUAAACUCUGCUUCCCCCUCCCCUUGCACGGGAUUCAGGGAAGGGCUGUAGGAGCAGCUUGGGAGAUGGGGGGGGAGGGGUGGUCAGGCCCUGCCCUCCAUGGUCACAGGCAUGGGGUGAAUCCCUGGAGGGCAGGGCCAAGGGCGCCAAUUAGGUAGGACAGAGGGGGUCUCCCCCCAAGUUUCACCCAGGAGGGGGGCUCCCUGGUGGAGCUCUUAAGGCUCAGUGUGAAUGUGGAAUGUGAGUUCUGCAGAGAGCUGGUUCCCCAGGCUUGUGUUCCUGGGGCAGGGAGUUCAGUGUUUUGUUUACAAACAGAGGCAGGAUGAUUACGAUCAGAAAAGGCUGGUAAUUAAACUAAGGAUCUGGAAGUCCUUAGAUGAACCUGUAAAGUGUGUGGGGUGUGUGCGUGUGCAGGGGACUCCAAAGAAAUACAGCCAAGCCCUCUGAGCCCAGGCUACACCCAGGAAAGAGGAAGAUGUGAGGGGCGUAAGUUAAAAGUAGGGACCAAUGCUCAGGGAAGGGACAGCAGUGGGAUAGAUUUCAGAGUAGCAGCCGGGUUAGUCUGUAUCCGCAGAAAGAACAGGAGUCCUUGUGGCACCUUAGAGACUAACACAUUUAUUUGAGCAUAAGUGUCGUAUGAGUAUCCAAUGUGAUUAUACAUCAAAUUCUUAGGCUUUCAGCUGUACUCAGGCCAAUUCCAGAACAAAGAAUAGAAACUGCACCCACAGAGUCCAUAAAGUCGACAAUUAUUGUUAUGAUUUGUAUUAUUCACUGGGCACGAUCUGUGUGCUCAGCACUGUUCAGAAUAUACCAGAAAAUCCAGUCCUUGAGCCAAUGCAUCUAAGCUGUGUAACCCUGGAUAAGAUGGCUCAGAUAUUGAAGUAUGAAGUGUACCGUUAUUGACCAUAUAUUAUCACAUGGUCACUGUGAUGCUAAUAUCUCUGGGCGGAGGCACGGAGGGCAAUACAAUUUUACUGGAUCAAG